This 1301-nucleotide ribosomal RNA is filed under the name Listeria monocytogenes. RNAcentral describes it as "partial 23S ribosomal RNA". It matches the Rfam family "Bacterial large subunit ribosomal RNA", at positions 1 to 1294 of the family's 2925-position model. Lineage: Bacteria; Bacillati; Bacillota; Bacilli; Caryophanales; Listeriaceae. The record is from RNAcentral.
UUGGUUAAGUUAGAAAGGGCGCACGGUGGAUGCCUUGGCACUAGGAGCCGAAGAAGGACGGGACUAACACCGAUAUGCUUUGGGGAGCUGUACGUAAGCGUUGAUCCAGAGAUUUCCGAAUGGGGGAACCCACUAUCUUUAGUCGGAUAGUAUCCUUACGUGAAUACAUAGCGUAAGGAAGGCAGACCCAGGGAACUGAAACAUCUAAGUACCUGGAGGAAGAGAAAGAAAAAUCGAUUUCCUGAGUAGCGGCGAGCGAAACGGAAAGAGCCCAAACCAAGAAGCUUGCUUCUUGGGGUUGUAGGACACUCUAUACGGAGUUACAAAAGAAAGUUAUAAAUGAAGCGGUCUGGAAAGGCCCGCCAAAGACGGUAACAGCCCGGUAGUUGAAAUGGCUUUCCCUCCAGAGUGGAUCCUGAGUACGGCGGAACACGUGAAAUUCCGUCGGAAUCCGGGAGGACCAUCUCCCAAGGCUAAAUACUCCCUAGUGACCGAUAGUGAACCAGUACCGUGAGGGAAAGGUGAAAAGCACCCCGGAAGGGGAGUGAAACAGUUCCUGAAACCGUGUGCCUACAAGUAGUUAGAGCCCGUUAAUGGGUGAUAGCGUGCCUUUUGUAGAAUGAACCGGCGAGUUACGAUUUGUUGCAAGGUUAAGCGGAAAAAGCGGAGCCGUAGCGAAAGCGAGUCUGAAUAGGGCGCAUAAGUAACAGGUCGUAGACCCGAAACCAGGUGAUCUACCCAUGUCCAGGAUGAAGGUAAGGUAAUACUUACUGGAGGUCCGAACCCACGCACGUUGAAAAGUGCGGGGAUGAGGUGUGGGUAGCGGAGAAAUUCCAAUCGAACUUGGAGAUAGCUGGUUCUCUCCGAAAUAGCUUUAGGGCUAGCCUCGAGGUAAAGAGUCAUGGAGGUAGAGCACUGUUUGGACUAGGGGCCCUUCUCGGGUUACCGAAUUCAGAUAAACUCCGAAUGCCAUGUACUUAUACUCGGGAGUCAGACUGCGAGUGAUAAGAUCCGUAGUCGAAAGGGAAACAGCCCAGACCACCAGUUAAGGUCCCCAAAUAUAUGUUAAGUGGAAAAGGAUGUGGGGUUGCUUAGACAACCAGGAUGUUGGCUUAGAAGCAGCCACCAUUGAAAGAGUGCGUAAUAGCUCACUGGUCGAGUGACCCCGCGCCGAAAAUGUACCGGGGCUAAACAUAUUACCGAAACUGUGGAUGAACCUCAUUAGAGGUUCGUGGUAGGAGAGCGUUCUAAGGGCGGUGAAGUCAGACCGGAAGGACUGGUGGAGCGCUUAGAAGUGAGAA